GUCGAGAAUUUUUCACAAUGGGGGCAACCCUGAUGGAGCGACGCCGCGUGGAGGAUGAAGGCCUUCGGGUUGUAAACUCCUGUCAUGCGGGAACAAGCAAGUGAUAGUACCGCAAGAGGAAGAGACGGCUAACUCUGUGCCAGCAGCCGCGGUAAUACAGAGGUCUCAAGCGUUGUUCGGAUUCAUUGGGCGUAAAGGGUGCGUAGGUGGUGACGCAAGUCUGGUGUGAAAUCUCGGAGCUCAACUCCGAAAUUGCACCGGAUACUGCGUGACUCGAGGACUGUAGAGGAGAUCGGAAUUCACGGUGUAGCAGUGAAAUGCGUAGAUAUCGUGAGGAAGACCAGUUGCGAAGGCGGAUCUCUGGGCAGUUCCUGACACUGAGGCACGAAGGCCAGGGGAGCAAACGGGAUUAGAAACCCUGGUAGUCC
This 428-nucleotide ribosomal RNA is filed under the name uncultured bacterium. RNAcentral's name for it is "bacterial SSU rRNA". It matches the Rfam family "Bacterial small subunit ribosomal RNA", at positions 354 to 796 of the family's 1533-position model. The record is from RNAcentral.